RNAcentral lists this ribosomal RNA (289 nucleotides) under Arrhyton supernum. RNAcentral describes it as "partial 12S ribosomal RNA". Lineage: Eukaryota; Metazoa; Chordata; Lepidosauria; Squamata; Dipsadidae. The record is from RNAcentral.
AAAGACUUGACGGUACUUCACACCAACCUAGAGGAGCCUGUCUAAUAACCGAUACUCCACGAUUAACCCAACCCGCCCUAGCCCCCAACAGUCUAUAUACCGCCGUCGCCAGCUUACCUUGUGAAAGAAAUAAAGUGAGCAAAACAGGGCACCCCUAACACGACAGGUCGAGGUGUAACUUAUGGGCGGGUAAAAGAUGGGCUACACUUUCUAACCCAGAAAAUACGAAUAGACUAUGAAACUAGAAACUGAAGGCGGAUUUAGCAGUACGAUAAGAACAAAAUACUUA